Molecule: ribosomal RNA, 238 nt
Filed under: uncultured bacterium
Lineage: Bacteria
Description: partial 16S ribosomal RNA
Rfam family: Bacterial small subunit ribosomal RNA
Source: RNAcentral
CGGAACGGGUGAGUAACGCGUGAGGAACCUGCCUCAAAGAGGGGGACAACAGUUGGAAACGGCUGCUAAUACCGCAUAAGCCCACGGCUCGGCAUCGAGCAGAGGGAAAAGGAGCAAUCCGCUUUGAGACGGCCUCGCGUCCGAUUAGCUAGUUGGUGAGGUAAUGGCCCACCAAGGCAACGAUCGGUAGCCGGACUGAGAGGUUGAACGGCCACAUUGGGACUGAGACACGGCCCAG